UGGGGAAUAUUGGACAAUGGGCGCAAGCCUGAUCCAGCCAUGCCGCGUGAGUGAUGAAGGCCCUAGGGUUGUAAGCUCUUUCGCCAGGGACGCGGUACCUGGAUAAGAAGCCCCGGCUAACUUCGUGCCAGCAGCCGCGGUAAUACGAAGGGGGCUAGCGUUGUUCGGAAUCACUGGGCGUAAAGCGCAUGCAGGCGGAUCGCUAAGUCGGGGGUGAAAGCCCGAGGCUCAACCUCGGAACUGCCUUCGAUACUGGCGAUCUUGAGUCCGGGAGAGGUGAGUGGAACUCCGAGUGUAGAGGUGAAAUUCGUAGAUAUUCGGAAGAACACCAGUGGCGAAGCGGCUCACUGGCCCGGACUGACGCUGAGAUGCGAAAGCGUGGGGAGCAAACAGGAUUAGAUACCCCUGUAGU
This 412-nucleotide ribosomal RNA is filed under the name uncultured bacterium. RNAcentral describes it as "bacterial SSU rRNA". It matches the Rfam family "Bacterial small subunit ribosomal RNA", at positions 355 to 794 of the family's 1533-position model. The record is from RNAcentral.